Molecule: ribosomal RNA, 468 nt
Filed under: uncultured bacterium
Lineage: Bacteria
Description: partial 16S ribosomal RNA
Rfam family: Bacterial small subunit ribosomal RNA
Source: RNAcentral
GACGAACGCUGGCGGCGUGCUUAACACAUGCAAGUCGAACGGAAAGGCCCUGCUUUUGUGGGGUGCUCGAGUGGCGAACGGGUGAGUAACACGCGAGUAACCUGCCCUUGACUUUGGGAUAACUUCAGGAAACUGGGGCUAAUACCGGAUAGGAGCUCCUGCUGCAUGGUGGGGGUUGGAAAGUUUCGGCGGUUGGGGAUGGACUCGCGGCUUAUCAGCUUGUUGGUGGGGUAGUGGCUUACCAAGGCUUUGACGGGUAGCCGGCCUGUGAGGGUGACCGGCCACAUUGGGACUGAGAUACGGCCCAGACUCCUACGGGAGGCAGCAGUGGGGAAUAUUGCACAAUGGGCGGAAGCCUGAUGCAGCAACGCCGCGUGCGGGAUGACGGCCUUCGGGUUGUAAACCGCUUUCGCCUGUGACGAAGCGUGAGUGACGGUAAUGAGUAAAGAAGCACCGGCUAACUACGUG